GGUGGCUCAGUGGUAGGGUGCUUGCCUUGCAAGCAUGAAGCCCUGGGUUCGAUUCCUCAGCACCA
Molecule: non-coding RNA, 65 nt
Organism: Dipodomys ordii (Ord's kangaroo rat)
Lineage: Eukaryota; Metazoa; Chordata; Mammalia; Rodentia; Heteromyidae
Source: Rfam